This 316-nucleotide ribosomal RNA is filed under the name uncultured eukaryote. RNAcentral's name for it is "partial 18S ribosomal RNA". It matches the Rfam family "Eukaryotic small subunit ribosomal RNA", at positions 1470 to 1796 of the family's 1831-position model. The record is from RNAcentral.
CCCUUAGAUGUUCUGGGCCGCACGCGCGCUACACUGACUGGUGCAACAAGUGUCUGACCUUGGCUCGAGAGGCCUGGGCAACCUUUGAACGCCAGUCGUGCUGGGGAUAGAUUCUUGCAAUUAUUAAUCUUCAACGAGGAAUUCCUAGUAAACGCAAGUCAUCAGCUUGCAUUGAUUACGUCCCUGCCCUUUGUACACACCGCCCGUCGCACCUACCGAUUGAAUGGUCCGGUGAAGCCUCCGGAUUGGCGCGCACCUCGGUGCCGCCGAGAAGUUGGCUAAACCUUACCAUUUAGAGGAAGGUGAAGUCGUAACA